RNAcentral lists this ribosomal RNA (399 nucleotides) under uncultured bacterium. RNAcentral's name for it is "bacterial SSU rRNA". It matches the Rfam family "Bacterial small subunit ribosomal RNA", at positions 359 to 775 of the family's 1533-position model. The record is from RNAcentral.
GAAUAUUGGACAAUGGGCGCAAGCCUGAUCCAGCCAUGCCGCGUGAGUGAUGAAGGCCUUAGGGUUGUAAAGCUCUUUCAGUGGGGAAGAUAAUGACGGUACCCACAGAAGAAGCCCCGGCUAACUUCGUGCCAGCAGCCGCGGUAAUACGAAGGGGGCUAGCGUUGUUCGGAUUUACUGGGCGUAAAGCGCACGUAGGCGGUUUGUUAAGUCAGAGGUGAAAUCCCGGAGCUCAACUCCGGAACUGCCUUUGAUACUGGCAAGCUAGAGUCCGGAAGAGGUGAGUGGAACUCCUAGUGUAGAGGUGGAAUUCGUAGAUAUUAGGAAGAACACCAGUGGCGAAGGCGGCUCACUGGUCCGGUACUGACGCUGAGGUGCGAAAGCGUGGGGAGCAAACAG